UUUCUUCUUCAAUUUUUUUCAGUUUUUGUUUUGUUUACAAGUAUUUAUUUUUGUUAUGCAAUAUAUAAUGAGAUUGCAAUGGAUUUUUGUUCAUGGAUUAGAUUAUGAUUGAUUGGUUCCUUUCAAAUUAUUGCAUUUGUUGUGGUUCCUAAUUGUAUUGAUACAUAAUUUUUUUUGUCUUUGGAUCCAGAGGUGUCUACGUUCGGAGGGAGGGAGGCCAUUGUUUGCUUGAUUGUCCUGAUUCCCUCUUUAUCGUUUAUUUGCUCUGUUUUUUAUUUGGUAAAAUUAAAGGAAUUGAAUUUGGAUAAGCAAAUGAGAGAGAGAGAGAGAGAGAGAGAGAGAGAGGUAAAAGGAGCAAGGAGAUGGAGAUAGAGGGGAGGAGAGACAAAAAUGGGAUGGAGGGAGAUAGACUGGAGAGGGGAGAGGGACAGAAGGAUAAGGGUAUUAUAGGUUAGUUCCAUUAUAACUGACCAGUUCUCCCAAAUCUACAAAUCCCAUUCAUGACGCUUCAUUUUAAUCAUUACAAAAACAUAAGCUUCCAUACUACAGAAUCAAAUUACAGAAUUUACAUUUACAAUCUCCAUAAGGAUUUUAAUCAGAUAAUUCCUAAAUGACCAUAAAAUCAAACCAAAAAACAUGUGAAACAAGAUUUGUUAUGGGUCGAUGCAAUGUAUAUGAACUUCACGAAGUUAAAUGGUGGAAUAUUCAACAUUAAUUAGCUGGGUGAGGAUUACUCGAGCUUAUGUCUGAAGUGUACACAAAAUUAACUUGGGAUGGAGGGAGAUAGACUGGAGAGGGGAGAGGGACAGAAGGAUGAGGGUAUUAUAGGUUAGUUCCAUUAUAACUGACCAGUUCUCCCAAAUCUACAAAUCCCAUUCAUGACGCUUCAUUUUACUCAUUACAAAAACAUAAGCUUCCAUUCUACAGAAUCAAAUUACAAAAUUUACAUUUACAAUCUCCAUAAGGAUUUUAAUCAGAUAAUUCCUAAAUGACCAUAAAAUCAAACAAAAAAAAAAGUGAAACAAGAUUUGUUAUGGGUCGAUGCAAUGUAUAUGAACUUCACGAAGUUAAAUGGUGGAAUAUUCAACAUUAAAUAGCUGGGUGAGGAUUACUCGAGCUUAUGUCUGAAGUGUAUACAAAAUUAACUUGUUGGAAUCCUGAUUCAUUUUGAAUUUUCCAGAUUUAAUAUUAUGCUACUGCCUGUUGUUACUAUCUGUAAUCAAUAAUCAUAAUUUUGCUUGGGAAAAUGACCACAAAUGUUUGCAUCCAUGUUUCUACCUCAAGGAGUUUAGCUAUUUUGAGUUUGAUUUUUUAUAGGAUUCUUCCUUAGAUAAUUGUUGCCAACCAUUUUGUUCUGAACUGUGUUUAUGCCAUUGUAUUGUUAAAAUAUGGAGUCUAAUAAUAUAUUAUGGACUGUACACCAUGCCCUACUGUCGCAGAUCCGCCGGG
RNAcentral lists this long non-coding RNA (1449 nucleotides) under Manihot esculenta (cassava). Its description in RNAcentral is "long non-coding RNA (MESC_LNC002757)". The record is from RNAcentral. Lineage: Eukaryota; Viridiplantae; Streptophyta; Magnoliopsida; Malpighiales; Euphorbiaceae.